RNAcentral lists this ribosomal RNA (624 nucleotides) under Microbacterium sp. Ri3Pw_6204. RNAcentral describes it as "bacterial SSU rRNA". It matches the Rfam family "Bacterial small subunit ribosomal RNA", at positions 387 to 1019 of the family's 1533-position model. The record is from RNAcentral. Lineage: Bacteria; Bacillati; Actinomycetota; Actinomycetes; Micrococcales; Microbacteriaceae.
UGCAGCAACGCCGCGUGAGGGAUGACGGCUCUUCGGGUUGUAAACCUCUUUUAGCAGGGAAGAAGCGAAAGUGACGGUACCUGCAGAAAAAGCGCCGGCUAACUACGUGCCAGCAGCCGCGGUAAUACGUAGGGCGCAAGCGUUAUCCGGAAUUAUUGGGCGUAAAGAGCUCGUAGGCGGUUUGUCGCGUCUGCUGUGAAAUCCCGAGGCUCAACUUCGGGUCUGCAGUGGGUACGGGCAGACUAGAGUGCGGUAGGGGAGAUUGGAAUUCCUGGUGUAGCGGUGGAAUGCGCAGAUAUCAGGAGGAACACCGAUGGCGAAGGCAGAUCUCUGGGCCGUAACUGACGCUGAGGAGCGAAAGGGUGGGGAGCAAACAGGCUUAGAUACCCUGGUAGUCCACCCCGUAAACGUUGGGAACUAGUUGUGGGGUCCAUUCCACGGAUUCCGUGACGCAGCUAACGCAUUAAGUUCCCCGCCUGGGGAGUACGGCCGCAAGGCUAAAACUCAAAGGAAUUGACGGGGACCCGCACAAGCGGCGGAGCAUGCGGAUUAAUUCGAUGCAACGCGAAGAACCUUACCAAGGCUUGACAUAUACGAGAACGCUGCAGAAAUGUAGAACUCUUU